AUUUCAUCAAAUUUCUUUGUUAAGUUGCACCACUAGGCUCCCCACGUUUGGGACUUCUAUGAUCAUAGGUACUCUAAACAGGUUAGAAUUAGGUUAGGGUUGGGUUAGAUCUAGUGUUAGAGUUAGAGUGAGGUUUGUUCAAAUUCAUUUGAUACUUGGCAUAAUUUGUCUUUUACCUAGCCUUACUAUUUUCCCCAGGUUUGGGCCUUAUCCCUUCAAUGGUUUGUUGUCAGGAACAGUUUGUAUUUUAAGGUUUCCUUCAUUUUGACCUAUACAGGUAAAUGGAAAUGGAACUUGAAAUCAAACAGGGUUGGUGCUCGCUGCUUAAAACUGCACACACUCAAUCAGUUCUAUGUGGGCACUCUGGUUUCUUCCUUGUGAAAGUUUCCCAAACCUAAAGCAUGCAAAAACAUCUUUAUCUGAAAGUACUGUUGGAGACAUCAGGGAAAUAUACAUGUACUGAACUACCUCCCCAAAUUAUUUGGUCAGAUUUCUUUGAUACUGCACAAGAUUCAUCUGUUAGCUUGCACCACUAGGCUCCCUUAAUUUGGGACUUCUUUGAUAAAAGGUUCUCUAAACAGAUUAGGGUUAGGUUUAUGGUUCAGGUAAGGGCUAGGUUUAAACCUAGUGUUAGGGUUAGAGUCAGUUUUGUUCAUGUAUCUUUGAUGCUGUGCAGGAUUCAUCUUCUACCUAGCCUCACAAAUUUCCCUGGUUUGGGCCUUCUCGUUCAAUAGUUUGCUGUCAGGAACAGUUUGUAUUUUAUGGUUUCACUUUAUUUUGAAGUAUUUUGUUGAAGAGAAAUGGAGCACAAAAUCAAACAGGGUUGGUGUUUUACUGCCUGAAACUGCACACACUCAAUCAGUU
RNAcentral lists this long non-coding RNA (864 nucleotides) under Marmota monax (woodchuck). The record is from RNAcentral. Lineage: Eukaryota; Metazoa; Chordata; Mammalia; Rodentia; Sciuridae.